RNAcentral lists this transfer RNA (75 nucleotides) under Gemmatimonadota bacterium. RNAcentral's name for it is "tRNA-Met". It matches the Rfam family "tRNA". Rfam says of the family: Transfer RNA (tRNA) molecules are approximately 80 nucleotides in length. Their secondary structure includes four short double-helical elements and three loops (D, anti-codon, and T loops). The record is from RNAcentral. Lineage: Bacteria; Pseudomonadati; Gemmatimonadota. RNAcentral also lists the same sequence under 1 other name.
CGCGGGGUGGAGCAGCCUGGUAGCUCGUCGGGCUCAUAACCCGAAGGUCGCGGGUUCAAAUCCCGCCCCCGCUAC